This 427-nucleotide ribosomal RNA is filed under the name uncultured bacterium. Its description in RNAcentral is "partial 16S ribosomal RNA". It matches the Rfam family "Bacterial small subunit ribosomal RNA", at positions 355 to 774 of the family's 1533-position model. The record is from RNAcentral.
UGGGGAAUAUUGCACAAUGGGCGCAAGCCUGAUGCAGCCAUGCCGCGUGUAUGAAGAAGGCCUUCGGGCUGUAAAGUACUUUCAGCGGGGAGGAAGGGAGUAAAGUUAAUACCUCUGCUCAUUGACGUUACCCGCAGAAGAAGCACCGUCUAACUCCGUGCCAGCAGCCGCGGUAAUACGGAGGGUGCAAGCGUUAAUCGGAAUUACAGGGCGUAAAGCGCACGCAGGCGGUUUGUUAAGUCAGAUGUGAAAUCCCCGGGCUCAACCUGGGAACUGCAUCUGAUACUGGCAAGCUUGAGUCUCGUAGAGGGGGGUAGAAUUCCAGGUGUAGCGGUGAAAUGCGUAGAGAUCUGGAGGAAUACCGGUGGCGAAGGCGGCCCCCUGGACGAAGACUGACGCUCAGGUGCGAAAGCGUGGGGAGCAAACA